CCUACGGGGGUCAGCAGUAGGGAAUUUUCGUCAAUGGGCGCAAGCCUGAACGAGCGAUGCCGCGUGAGUGAAGAAGGCCUUCGGGUCGUAAAGCUCUGUUGCGGGGGAAAAAAGGCAGCAUCAGGAAAUGGGUGCUGACUGAUGGUGCCCCGCCAGAAAGUCACGGCUAACUACGUGCCAGCAGCCGCGGUAAUACGUAGGUGGCUAGCGUUAUCCGGAAUGAUUGGGCGUAAAGUGUGCUCAGGCGGUCCUGCAAGUCUGGAGUGAAACGGAUGAGCUCAACUCAUGCAUGGCUUUGGAAACUGGAGGACUGGAGAGCAGGAGAGGGAGGUGGAACUCCAUGUGUAGCGGUAAAAGGCGUAGAUAUAUGGAAGAACACCAGUGGCGAAGGCGGCCGCCUGGCCUGUUGCUGACGCUGAGGCACGAAAGCGUGGGGAGCAAAUAGGAUUAGAUACCCUAGUAGUC
Molecule: ribosomal RNA, 465 nt
Filed under: uncultured bacterium
Lineage: Bacteria
Description: partial 16S ribosomal RNA
Rfam family: Bacterial small subunit ribosomal RNA
Source: RNAcentral